Molecule: ribosomal RNA, 253 nt
Filed under: uncultured bacterium
Lineage: Bacteria
Description: partial 16S ribosomal RNA
Rfam family: Bacterial small subunit ribosomal RNA
Source: RNAcentral
GACAGAGGGUGCAAACGUUGUUCGGAAUCACUGGGCAUAAAGCGCACGUAGGCGGCCCACUAAGUCGGAUGUGAAAUCCCCAGGCUUAACCUGGGAACUGCAUCCGAUACUGGAUGGCUUGAAUUCGGGAGAGGGAUGCAGAAUUCCAGGUGUAGCGGUGAAAUGCGUAGAUAUCUGGAGGAAUACCGGUGGCGAAGGCGGCAUCCUGGACCGACAUUGACGCUGAACGGCGAAAGCUAGGGGAGCAAACGGG